GUCCUUAGUUACCAGCACGUUAUGGUGGGCACUCUAAGGAGACUGCCGGUGACAACCGGAGGAAGUGGGGAUGACGUCAAGUCAUCAUGGCCCUUACGGCCUGGGCUACACACGUGCUACAAUGGUCGGUACAAAGGGUUGCCAAGCCGCGAGGUGGAGCUAAUCCCAUAAAACCGAUCGUAGUCCGGAUCGCAGUCUGCAACUCGACUGCGUGAAGUCGGAAUCGCUAGUAAUCGUGAAUCAGAAUGUCACGGUGAAUACGUUCCCGGGCCUU
Molecule: ribosomal RNA, 274 nt
Filed under: uncultured Pseudomonas sp.
Lineage: Bacteria; Pseudomonadati; Pseudomonadota; Gammaproteobacteria; Pseudomonadales; Pseudomonadaceae
Description: partial 16S ribosomal RNA
Rfam family: Bacterial small subunit ribosomal RNA
Source: RNAcentral